GAUGAACGCUGGCGGCGUGCCUAAUACAUGCAAGUCGAGCGAACGGACGAGAAGCUUGCUUCUCUGAUGUUAGCGGCGGACGGGUGAGUAACACGUGGAUAACCUACCUAUAAGACUGGGAUAACUUCGGGAAACCGGAGCUAAUACCGGAUAAUAUUUUGAACCGCAUGGUUCAAAAGUGAAAGACGGUCUUGCUGUCACUUAUAGAUUGAUCCGCGCUGCAUUAGCUAGUUGGUAAGGUAACGGCUUACCAAGGCAACGAUGCAUAGCCGACCUGAGAGGGUGAUCGGACACACGGGAAAUGAGACACGGUCAAGACUCCUACGGGAGGCAGCAGUAGGGAAUCUUCCGCAAUGGGCGAAAGCCUGACGGAGCAACGCCGCGUGAGUGAUGAAGGUCUUCGGAUCGUAAAACUCUGUUAUUAGGGAAGAACAUAUGUGUAAGUAACUGUGCACAUCUUGACGGUACCUAAUCAGAAAGCCACGGCUAACUACGUG
This 497-nucleotide ribosomal RNA is filed under the name uncultured bacterium. RNAcentral describes it as "partial 16S ribosomal RNA". It matches the Rfam family "Bacterial small subunit ribosomal RNA", at positions 28 to 507 of the family's 1533-position model. The record is from RNAcentral.